This 406-nucleotide ribosomal RNA is filed under the name uncultured bacterium. Its description in RNAcentral is "partial 16S ribosomal RNA". It matches the Rfam family "Bacterial small subunit ribosomal RNA", at positions 30 to 526 of the family's 1533-position model. The record is from RNAcentral.
AUUGAACGCUGGCGGCAGGCCUAACACAUGCAAGUCGAACGAGUGGCGGAAGGGUGAGUAAUGUCUGGGAAACUGCAUGAUGGAGGGGGAUAACUACUGGAAACGGUAGCUAAUACCGCAUACCAUCAGAUGUGCCCAGAUGGGAUUAGCUUGUUGGUGGGGUAAAGGCUCACCAAGGCGACGAUCCCUAGCUGGUCUGAGAGGAUGACCAGCCACACUGGCACUGAGACACGUUCCAGACUCCUGCGGUAGGCAGCAGUGGGGAAGAUUUCACAAGGGGCGCAAGCCUGAUGCAGCCCUGCCGCGUGUAUGAAGAAGGCCUUCGGUUUUUAAAGUACUUUCAGCGGGGAGGCGUUACCCGCAGAAGAAGCACCGGCUAACUCCGUGCCAGCAGCCGCGGUAAUUC